RNAcentral lists this long non-coding RNA (1562 nucleotides) under Homo sapiens (human). RNAcentral's name for it is "HSALNT0222042". The record is from RNAcentral. Lineage: Eukaryota; Metazoa; Chordata; Mammalia; Primates; Hominidae.
UUUGCACACACCCAUACCCCACUCCCCACUCCCUUAUUCUUUUGUUUUCUCCGGCAAUCCUCCAGCCACAUCUCGAGGCACAAGACCAGGUUUUCUUCGGUGUGGGAACCAAGGCAAGUCACUUUCCACUCAGAGCCAAAGUCCACCCCUGUGCAACAGCACAGACCAUUCUUUCCAGCUCUUCACGUAAACUAGCACACACUGGAGAGUUCUGGACAUGGGUAGGAGGCUGCUUCCCUCUCCCAGGUGCCACUGCCCCUUCCCAGCCUUGUCAAACUGUAUCAGUUUCUGUGGCUGCUUCUUGACUUCCAUUCUCUGCAUCCCUCAUCAAGUUCAUUCUCUGGAACCAGCUCUAAAGACUCACGAGUUGAGCCUAAAGAUUCAUUGUGUGAGAGCAUCAGGAAGAGUGAACUGUGCCCAGCUCUGGCCCCCAGGAGAAGCCGAUUGCACGGAUGCUCAAAGCCAAACUCCCGAGUUCUCCUUCACUCCCACACAGGCAGCCCAGAGGUCCAAAGAGGAGGAGGCAGAGAAGACGCCAUUGCAGAGGAAAGGAGAGAACCAGGAGAGCAAGCGUGGGCAGCCACCAGGGAGGAAAGAGUCUUGUUGAAUGCUGCAGGAUGUUCUCAUAGCGUUGGAGCAAUGCUGAACUGCUCUGCAAAACAGAAGGAAAUGUAUUUGGACAUCCAAGGGAGAGAAGGAGAGGGCAUCCAAAAACAAAAGGAGGAAAGAAGGAAACCAGGAAGGUAGGGCAAGGUUAGGCAGUGUGGAGGGCAAAGAGCUGGGUCAACAUUUUAAAACAAGGAAGGCUGCUGCAUGAUUCUAAAUUACGUGUGGGGCGACGCUCACUGUGGCUUGCUCCCAAAGGGAAGUCUGUCAUGCUCCCAGAUCUUCAUGUAUGUGGGUCUCUUGGGGGUGGAGCAGCAAUGGACUGAUUUCACUUCUGGGCCAUGUGAAGUGAAGAGAGAGAGAGGGUUACUGGAUUUGCACCUCGAGAACAUAGGGUCCCUCAGGGACUCAUAGCAAUCUUUGCAGGAGUGAAGGGGGCUUUGGAAUGGGGAUUCAAGCCAUUCUGAUAGAUCUUAAGUGCCCCCAGUUGACAUCUGGCUCAUGCUUGUUAAGUGCAGAGCAUCUAAUAAACUCAGAGAAAACUGUUGACCUUUCUAAAGUAUAUCAAAGCCCUCUAGCAUAUCAUUUCCUGAAGAAUAAAUGAACAAGUACACACAUCUACCAUGGCUUGCAUGGUGUUUAACACUCCUUCCUUGCACUUGGCCACAGACCACAGCCACCCAGAGUUGGAAGAAUCCACAGAGAAGGCCCAGGUGAAAACCCAUUUACAGAUGAGGCAAUGGAGGCUCAGAAAGGAAAAGCAACUUUCUCAAGGCCACACAGCUAAUGGGUACAGAGCUGAGGCUCAAAGCCACAUUUUCUGCCCCCCUGGUUUCUGUUUUUUCCCCAGAGUACUGCGGUUGCUGUGAGUUAGGCUGAAGCCAAUUUGGGUUUGAGGGCAUUUCAUUAAAAUGUGUCCUGGGAGUCAGAAUAGGAGACAACGAGGCCUUGUUUUC